GCGGUACGGCUGGGGGGCGUUCGCCGCCCUGGCGGGCGCGGCCGCCGCCGUGGACGUCCUCCGGUUCGCCGCCGGGGUGCCGUAC
RNAcentral lists this transfer RNA (85 nucleotides) under Streptomyces griseus. RNAcentral describes it as "tRNA-Gly". The record is from RNAcentral. Lineage: Bacteria; Bacillati; Actinomycetota; Actinomycetes; Kitasatosporales; Streptomycetaceae.